GGGUAGUAGAGGGGUUGCAGUAUGAUCCUGACACUGAAAAAAACCCUAGAUUUCUCAGCUUCUGGGACCUAUAAUAGCUGACUGUACCCAUGAGGUGCAACCCACGAGGUGACCAGGUAGCACAGAUAGGGUAUCCCUCAAACCUGCUUCCAGGAAGGCAGCAGCUGGCACGGCCACUCCUGAGUGGCUGGGAUCCAGAGGAAGCAGUUGCCAUUCAGGGCAGAAGAUCAAAGUCUUUCUUUCAUCCUCAGAUGCCUGCUGCCUCUCUGGCCCUGCACCCUGAGGAUGCAGGGAGUGCCCCACAGCCCCUGUCCCAUGGAGUGCACUGCCAAAGCACUCUAUGCCAAUGCCCUAUAACCACCUCCCACUCCACAGACCACUGCAUGUCCCACAACCCUUGGCCUCAGCCCAACAGGAGAUCUAAUUUAGCACCACACUCCAGCAUUUGGUUCUCGGCUUUUCCAUCCCUUCCAGACUGAAGAGCCCUGUUAGUCACAGUAUUUCUUGCACAGAAGUGUUCAAGUCACCUCACAACAUUGUCCAUGAUAAGCUGCUGGAAAAGCAGCUUUUCACAGAACAUUCUGAGUUGGAAAGGACCAACAAGGAUCACCAGAUCCAACUCUUAAGAUAAUGGACUAUGCAGGAAUCAAACUCACAACCUUGGCAUUACUAGCACCAUGCUUUAACCAGCUAACCUCAGAGCUGCGUGUGUUUCCGCUGCUUUUAGCACGGGUCACACAGCUGGUCAAACGAUGGUCAGCUUAUGCUGAAAAACUGAACUGAAACUGUAUUUUCCUUCCCACAUUUUGAUCUCAUGUUCUCAGCAUCAGUCCCAGAGGAAGGACACUGGCACAUCAUGAGAUAUUGUACAAAAGAAUGUAGAGUUAUUUGAGUCGAGUCAGAGGACUCACAAGCCCCCCAGGAGUUCAGAGGACACAAGGACAUCUCCUAAAAUAGCCAAGCCAAGACACAAUGAGGAGGAACACCCUGAUGCUGGGAAGACAGAUCAGAAGUCAACAGUAACCAAUCCUACAUCCUCUUUCCUCUUCAUCUAUUUCCCAGUUUUUGCUCUGCGCUCCUUGCAAAGAUUUUUUGGUUGAGAUGGGCAGCAUGAGCACCUUGGCAUCACCAGCAGUACAGCAGGUGUCUAUGAGAGAGGUGGCACCAGCCACCAAGCACUGAUAGCCUGCUAACUCCCAGUGCAGGGUGUUCCACUGCUCACAGGUACACAGCACUGCCUUUGAAGAACCCCUCAUUUUAAGGUAUUUCACUGCCAACACCAGCUGAGAUGCAAAGUCUGAGUUUCUAGAAUGUCAGCUUUCUUCUCUUUUUCCAGGCACGUGUAGAAAUGGGGAACUGAGUGCUGAUCACACGCAUGUUGUGACUGGGAACGGAAAACACCUGCAGCAAGUCUGUGCCGGGGCAGGUCGGGGCCGGCGCGGAGCAGCCUCUCCCCUGCUAUGGGCGGAAGGGAGGUACAGCGAGCCGAGGCCAGGGGGAGGAGUACAUCCCAUUGCCGCCUUCCUCGCUUGCCUUGCGGCAUUGCUCCAGGGAACGUGCGGAACCCGAGCUGUCUUGCAGGUGUCCCUCCUUUGGCGGGAUCUCGGUGUGGAAUCGCUGCCCUGCGCCUGGCACGGUGUGCACAGGUAAAGAAAGCGAGGCCAGGUAGGGCACACAGCAGCCACUCGCCCGAGCCCUUGGUGCGGGCGGCGGGACACGGAGUCGCAGGAGAGCAAAUGAGCAGCGGGGACGUGCCCGGUGGAGUGUGCUGAGUGGCGGACUCAUCGCAGCGGGGCGGGAGGCGGCGCCAGGCUUGCGGACAGAAUAGGGGCGUUCCCGGCCGCCCGCGGAGCCGUUCGCGCUACGGGCGCCGCAGUCGCGGCCGACGCGGCGGUGGAGCGACUGCGGGGCUUUGGUGAAGUUGGUUUGCAUUCGUCCAGAAGGCAAUGGACCAUGCCAGAGCAGCAAUCUCUAACUUG
Cinclus cinclus is the source of this 1979-nucleotide long non-coding RNA. RefSeq lists it as uncharacterized. The record is from RefSeq and is a predicted model, not a curated record. Lineage: Eukaryota; Metazoa; Chordata; Aves; Passeriformes; Cinclidae. The transcript is spliced from 3 exons.